Molecule: long non-coding RNA, 5661 nt
Filed under: Sus scrofa (pig)
Lineage: Eukaryota; Metazoa; Chordata; Mammalia; Artiodactyla; Suidae
Description: lncRNA (ENSSSCG00060021297.1)
Source: RNAcentral
UGAAUGAAACAAGACAUCAAGCAUAAAUUCUAUAUGAUUCUAUUUACAUGGAAUUUAAGAACAGGCAAAACUAAUAGGUUAGCUUUCAGGGGCAAGUAUUGACUGGGAAGGGCACAUGGAGCCUUCUGGUAUACUGCAAAUAUUUUCCAUCUCAAUCUGGGCAGUAGUUAAAUGGUUAUAUGUCUAUGUAAAAAUUCAUCAAGCUGUAUACAUAAGAGUCUUAAGAUUUGUGCACUUUAUUAUUUGUAGACUAUAUCUACUAGAAGAGAAAAAAAAAAGUCUUGAGAAGAGACAUAAGCAUUUUGGGGUCAGCCUCACCUUUCCAUCUGCCUUUUCCAACAAAGGGAUGGAGACGGAGGCCAAAUGAGCACCAUCCAAGUCAGCUCCUUCUGAAACAGAGACAAAAAUAACUACAUCUCAAGUAUAAGAACAUACUUUCCCCUUUUUUUUUUUGGGAAAGGCACAGGCUUUUUUCACAUUACCAGCCAGAGGGAAUCUUUCUCAAACUUUCCAUAGAGAUUCUCCCUUGAGCAGGCACCAAACAUGGACAUUUUCUACCAGAGAAAAACAUGCUGGGGAGUUAUAAGCCUCUGGAACGAAAGCGUUGGGAAGGAAAUGAUGUAGAUCCCCCUCCCUCACCUGGGCUCCUCCCAGUCCUCCUGGAGCCAUGUUCCAGUGGCUAUAUGUUGUCAUCAGGAGAGUGCUAAUCAGAGGGACUGCAAGGAUGGAAGACAAGGGCAGGAGAGUGGACUGGGUCAGACAGUUGCCAGGGUCCAGUCCACACUGAGCACUGGGCCUUUCCCAUCUGGUGGGAAGAAAGGUUUUGAUUCUUCAUCCCUCAUACAAAUGGAAGGAAGUCACAGACAGCUUAAAAAAAAAAAGGUGUUUAAAGCAAUGUAUACAUUGUGGACAGUGAACGAAGCAUCUCAAUUCUGUGUGGGUCUGUCCAUAUAAAGAUGAAGGAGCCUCAUUUUCCAGCUGCACUGCCUCCCUCCUCUCUCCUAGCUCCUCUUUCCUCCUGUCAUCUCUUUGUCCAGCUUCUUCAUUUUCCUUCUCAUCAUCUGAAAGCCUUAAGAACAAAUUUUUAGGAAGUACCUGUGUAGGGCAGGGUACUUGACAACUUUACCAGGAAGGUGUUAUUUUUCAGGUGAGGACACCAGCUUUAGGGGAGUGAAGUGAUUAGCUUGAGGUCAUGCACCUAAGAGAUGUCAGAGCCAGGGUUUGCAUCUAGGCUGGUGAGACUCUGUGUGGGCUCUGUCAUGGGGUUCAGUUGCCUUAAGUCUCCUUUUCUUGAGAAAGACAUUGCUGGAUUGUUAUAUCCUAUCCUGUCUCUCAAGAUAAGCAACAUUUUAGUAAAAGAUAUUAUUUUAUUUUAUUUGCUUUUUAGGGCCGUACCCAAGGCAUAUGGAAGUUCCCGGGCUAGGGGUCAAAUCGGAGCUACAGCUGCUGGCCUAUGCCACAGCCACAGCAACUGUGGGAUCCAAGGCGCAUCUGCAACCUACGCCACAGCUCAUGGCAAUGCCGGAUCCCUGACCCACUGAGUGAGGCCAGGGAUCAAACUUGCACCUCAUGGAUUCUAUUUGGAUUCGUUUCCACUACGCCACAAAGGGAACACCCUGAAAUACUUUUAAAAAUGAAAAUUAAUACAAAAUCUGUGAUGAAAAAUGUAAAUCUUUUGAAUAAAGACAGGAUCAGUGUUAGCAGUUUUUCAUUUUGCUUGGGCUCUAAUGUGACACCAUGUUGACUUAUUCCUCGGGUCCUUAUUUGGGCCCAUUGCUCUCCUUUGCCCAUGUUCUUGUCCCUUGCUCCUUCCGAUGGAUAAUAUUGUAUGCCCCCACCUUUCAUCUCAGUGUGAGUAACUCCAAAUUCUACUUUCUCCCAGGGCUCAAGGAGGAGAAGCCUUUUGUUUCUUCAAGCUUCUGUUCACUUCAGGAGUUUGGGGUACAUGUCUUGUGUUUCCACUGACCUUUUGGAAAGCUCCGCCUGAACUCUGGUGACCUAAAGUCAACUUUUCCUCAACUAAGCUCACCCUUCCUCCCAUCCUGUCCUCAGGUCUGCUCCUGUCAAUGUCAGCAGCAGCCUUCUAGUCACCCGGCUCUCCCCUCAUUCCUAUUUCCAACAGCCAAUCUGCUGCCCACCCUUGUUUAUUAUCAAGUACCUCCUACAACUGCCCUUUCUUAUCCAAAAGCCCAGACAGACUAUGCCUGAACUGGCACUUGCUUGGGGUGGGAAGGCACAGAAGCAAGAACUUAAGCAUAAUCAUUUGUCUGAGGACCAGAGCUGUAGUGAGGGGCGUAGAAAGGGAUGGGCUUACUUAGAUCUGUGCAGACAGGGCAAGCAGAGGUUGGAGAAAGAACUAAGCACCACGUUGUUGAAAUAUCUUCUCAAUCUUUGAUUCCGUAAGGGAACAUAUAGGAUGUUCCAUGCUAUCUUCACUUGCUACAUGCUAGGGAGACAAAGAUUGAAAAUCAUUUCAGUUCUUGAGAAGCUCACAAUCUGGUGGGAAAGACAGACCCACAAAUAAACCCCACAGGAGCAUGCAGUUUGGGGUAACUGAGGAGGAAGUCACCAACUGAAGAUGAAAAGAUGGGCUAGGAAAGUUGCCCAGAGGAAAAGAUACUGAGCUGAACUUCAGUGUUGAAUGAAGGAGAUGAUUGAUGUCACUGGUGAUGAUGUUAGUCAUUAUGAAGAAGAUAGUGAAAAUCACCAAGGUGAUAAUUAUGCACAGGGAGACUCCAUCAAAAAGAUGGAGGUGAUAGGGCUGAGGAACGCAAACCACCUUGGUACCUCUGAUGUAAUGGAUUGGGCAGUGAUCCCAAACCAGUCCAGGAGGCCACACUGUGACUUCAGGUGUCUUUUCAUAGUCAUGGCUUAUGAUUCAAGAUAUAGUGUACCAGGAGUUCCCCUUGUGGCUCAGCAGUAAUGAACCCGACUAGUAUCCAUGAGGACAUGGGUUCAAUCCCUGGCCCUGCUCAGUGUGUUAAGGAUCCAGCAUUGCUGUGAGCUGUGGUGUAGGGUCGAAGAUUCGGCUGGGAUCUGUUGUUGCUGUGGCUGUGGCAGGCACAUCUGCUCUGUGUCCAGAGAGCUUGUGGAAGAUUAAAAAAGGAGCUGUACUUCCUAUGCCCUUCCAGUUCUAGAAUCACUGACCUUGGUAACUGGUAACUCUAGAGGGGCUUUCUCUCUCCCAAUUGGUCUGUCACAUGCUUGAAGUCUCCCGAUUAACACAUCAUUUCCUUAGCUUGUCUUGCAUCUCCAGAUGCAAGAGUUGGAAGGAUAUAUUAAGGCAUUAUUACUCCCAAACACCCCAGCAUAAGAGUUUAACAGCUUAUUGUCUCCUGGGUCACUGUAUUUUAAUACAAUGAAGGAAAACCAGCUUAAGAGUCUGGACCAUUUCUCAAUGAACAGGAUUGGGUGAGGAUGUGUUACAGAAGGGUUGGUAGCUUUGGGACCCCCAAAGCUUGAGGAUGAAGUCUGCAGGUGAUGGGAUCUGAGGAAGCCACUCUAGGACUCCCUGUUGCUAAUUAGAGUUGACCCUGGGAUAUAACUUCCUGAAGUAUUGAUCCAAAAUUACCCUCCUAGAACUUUGGUUGUUAUUACACCAUUGCCUGGGCCUCUUGCCUUCCACUACCACCUCCUCACCCGCUACCAGUUCCUCCCUGGGUACCUUGCUAAUAAGCUGUGUCCACAAGGGUUCUUAUCUCAGGAAAGUCUCAUCAUAAGGCAAUGGCUCUAACUCAUUCUCCUUUUUCUGGCUUCCUUCAGUCCAAAUCAUUUGGGUACCUGGCCCAUACUGUUUGGGCCAUGUCUAUGAGCCUUGCCUUCCUGGUUUUAGUGUAAGUUCUCUUGUCUCCCCUGGUUUGCCUGGCAGGCACUGGGACAUCCCUAGCACCACCCUUUGUCAGAGGUGGAAGGUCCAGGGGGUCUUUGAGACCAAAAGAGGAAACAGAGGCCCAGAAAAGCUAAAGGGCUUGUUGACUAAAUGAUACUUUCUCUUCUUCUCCCAACUGAGAUGUACAGGGAGACAUUUUGUCCCCGUGAUGAUCUGUUCUUGGUUUAUUGAGAUGAUGAUGAUGAUGAUGAUGGCUCUUGCUAUGUGGUUUCUUGAGGAGUCCCAGGCCUUUGGCGUGUGUAAUUAGGAAACUUCCCAAAGCCUUUCUAAGAGAGAGACCCUAUGUCCUGCAUUUCAGGCAAACUGCCUUCGGCUUAGAGAUAUAGAGUAGUGGGGAAGUCGAAGGGUAGCAAAGUGAAAGGAGAAUCACAGAAGGGUUUGGAGUGGGGUUCAGUGGACACUUGAGCACUUUAUCCCAGCCUUGGGUUGAGGAGGGGGCAGAGAAUGCCUUAAUGAUCAACUAAAGCCUUAGUUGAACGUUGAAGGCAAACAGGAGUUUCCAAGGUAGGGAGAUAGGCAAUUCCCUUCACAUUCAGUGUACAACCAACAUCUGAUAUAAAGAUGAUACUUUUUUAUUUGGAAAGACAUUUUUUUCAUAGAGGUAUAGGAACAGAGUUUGGAGUCAAAUGGGAUUUAAAUCUUGGUUCCAUCACUUUCUUUGCGACUCUGAGCAAGUCCAUUAUACUUUCCAAACCUCAAUACCGUCAUCUGUAAGUUAUGACAAUGAGUCCCACUUCACUGGAUGAUCAUCAAACUCAAAUGAGGCAAAUUAAUUCUUGAUGUGUAUGUGCAGAACCCUUGAGAAAUGGUUGUUGUGGUGUUCACAUAGAGAACUUUUAACUUUCAUCAUUACCAUAUGAAUAUUGAUUAUUCUCUCACUGUGUUCAAGUGUUGAAUGAACCUCAUCUUGUCUUGUGCAUCCUCAUUUAAGAGGACAGGAGAUAACACUGUCCAGAACUAGAAACUCUGAGAGGGUAAGGGACCUGCCCAUUCCUAUCUUAGGUUGAGUUCUCCAAGAAGCAGGCAUUCAGGUGAAGAUAGGAGUGUAAGCACUUUACUUGGGUGGUGAUCCCAGCAAACACUGGCUGGAGAGCAGGAAGUAAGGCAGGCAAGGGAAGUCAGUCCGUGGAGGAUGUGUGUUCAAUCCAUUUACCACCGUAGGCAGCUGGAGCUCUCUCCCACCAGGAGUGCAGUGUAAAGUAAACAUCUCAGGAUAGAAAGCCCAGAAUUAAACCCACACACCUACAGUCAACUAAUUUAUGACAAAGGAGGCAAGAAUAUACAAAGGAGAAAAGACAGCUCCUUCAAUAAGUGGUUAUGGGAAAAGUGGACAGCCACAUGUAAAAGAAUGAAAUUAAACACCUCAUAACACCAUGCACAAAAAUAAACUCAAAAUGGAAUAAGGACCUAAAUAUAAGACCAAAUACUAUAAAACUCUUAGAGGAAAACAUAGGCCAAACAAUCUCCGACAUAAACCACAGCAAUAUCUUCUCAGAUCCACUUCCUAGAGUAAUGACAAUAAAAGCAAAAAUAAACAAAUGGACUUAAUUAAACUUAAAAGUUUCUGCAUAGCAAAGGAAACCCUAAUCAUAACGAAAAGACAACCCACAGAAUGGGAGAAAAUAUUUGCAAAUGAAGCAACUGACAAGGGACUAAUCUCCAAAAUUUAUAAACACAUCCUGCAGCACAAUACCAAAAAACAAACAAACAAACAAACAACCCCAUCAAAAAAGUGGGCAAAAGACAAUUCUCUAAGGAAAACAUACAGAUGG